GCCAAACAGCUAGCUUAACCACUCAAAUAACACAAUAAUAAAAAUAACACAGCAUAACCGCAACACACAAACCAAACCAUUUUACCACCUUAGUACGGGAGA
This 102-nucleotide ribosomal RNA is filed under the name Leptobotia pellegrini. Its description in RNAcentral is "partial 16S ribosomal RNA". The record is from RNAcentral. Lineage: Eukaryota; Metazoa; Chordata; Actinopteri; Cypriniformes; Botiidae.